CGCGUAGGCGGCCUGAUAAGUUAGCCGUGAAAGGCCUGGGCUCAACCUGGGAAUUGCGGUUGAUACUGUUGGGCUGGAGAGCGGGAGAGGAUGGUGGAAUUCCCAGUGUAGAGGUGAAAUUCGUAGAUAUUGGGAAGAACACCGGUGGCGAAGGCGGCCAUCUGGACCGUAUCUGACGCUGAGGCGCGAAAGCGUGGGGAGCAAACAGGAUUAGAUACCCUGGUAGUCCACGCUGUAAACGAUGAGUGCUGGACGUUGGUGGGCUUGCCUGCCGGUGUCGCAGCUAACGCGUUAAGCACUCCGCCUGGGGAGUACGGCCGCAAGGUUGAA
This 330-nucleotide ribosomal RNA is filed under the name uncultured Pseudomonadota bacterium. Its description in RNAcentral is "bacterial SSU rRNA". It matches the Rfam family "Bacterial small subunit ribosomal RNA", at positions 568 to 898 of the family's 1533-position model. The record is from RNAcentral. Lineage: Bacteria; Pseudomonadati; Pseudomonadota.